UAAAACCAGCACCUCAAGUGGUCAGGAUGAUUAUUGGGCCUAAAGCAUCCGUAGCCGGCUCUGUAAGUUUUCGGUUAAAUCUGUACGCUUAACGUACAGGCUGCUGGGAAUACUGCAGGGCUAGGGAGUGGGAGAGGUAGACGGUACUCAGGAGGAAGUGGUAAAAUGCUUUGAUCUCCUGAUGACCACCUGUGGCGAAGGCGGUCUACCAGAACACGUCCGACGGUGAGGGAUGAAAGCUGGGGGAGCAAACCGGAUUAGAUACCCGGGUAGUCCCAGCCGUAAACUAUGCAAACUCAGUGAUGCAUUGGCUUAUGGCCAGUGCAGUGUUGCAGGGAAGCCGUUAAGUUUGCCGCCUGGGAAGUACGUACGCAAGUAUG
Molecule: ribosomal RNA, 380 nt
Filed under: uncultured Nitrososphaerota archaeon
Lineage: Archaea; Thermoproteati; Nitrososphaerota
Description: bacterial SSU rRNA
Rfam family: Archaeal small subunit ribosomal RNA
Source: RNAcentral